RNAcentral lists this ribosomal RNA (253 nucleotides) under uncultured bacterium. RNAcentral's name for it is "partial 16S ribosomal RNA". It matches the Rfam family "Bacterial small subunit ribosomal RNA", at positions 524 to 776 of the family's 1533-position model. The record is from RNAcentral.
GACAGAGGGGGCAAGCGUUGCUCGGAAUCACUGGGCGUAAAGGGCGCGUAGGCGGCUUUGCAAGUGGCGGGUGAAAUCCCUCGGCUUAACCGAGGAACUGCCUGUCAAACUGCAUGGCUUGAGACCAGGAGAGGUGAGUGGAAUUCCCAGUGUAGCGGUGAAAUGCGUAGAUAUUGGGAGGAACACCAGUGGCGAAGGCGGCUCACUGGACUGGUACUGACGCUGAUGCGCGAAAGCGUGGGGAGCAAACAGG